ACGCAGCGACGCCGCGUGGGGGAGUGAAGGUUUUCGGAUUGUAAACCCUUUCGGUGGGAAGAGAAUGGACGGUACCAUCGGAAGAAGCCCGGCUAACUACGUGC
This 104-nucleotide ribosomal RNA is filed under the name uncultured bacterium. RNAcentral describes it as "partial 16S ribosomal RNA". It matches the Rfam family "Bacterial small subunit ribosomal RNA", at positions 386 to 508 of the family's 1533-position model. The record is from RNAcentral.